AUGGCUGCCUCUGCGUUGAGAUCGCCGGCCAUCCACGCGGUGCGCUCCGCCUCCGCCAUCGUGUGCAAGGAAGCGAGCGACUCCCACGUACUCAGGAUCGACGGCUACUCGCGCCUCAAGCACAUUUUUUUUGGGGAGUACAUCUGCUCGGGCGACUUCCACGCCGGCGGCCACAUCUGGCGUCUCCUGUAUUACACCAACGGCAGCCAGCCCCAGUUCCGAGAUCACAUCGCCGUGUACCUCCAGCUAGCAUCCAGAGAUCCCACCGACGAGCAGGUGCUGGCACGACCACGGUUCAGCCUACUCGAUCAGCUUGGGAACCCGGCGUUGCCGCAUGACUGUGGGAUGCAUCGCUUCUCGUAC
Molecule: ribosomal RNA, 363 nt
Filed under: Triticum aestivum (bread wheat)
Lineage: Eukaryota; Viridiplantae; Streptophyta; Magnoliopsida; Poales; Poaceae
Description: partial small subunit ribosomal RNA
Source: RNAcentral